UGGAUUGAAGUAGCGAUCGCCAAAGAAGCCAUUGCCAUCAUAUCUGUUGCAACACCACAUAGGUUUGCUUACAUGGUUGUCUAAUAUCACCAUCACAUUAUUCUCCCCAAGGUUCUUAACCACUUCCUGCAGAACUUGCACAACGGUGAUAUCAAGCAAGGAGGGAUUAUUGACUUGCAGGCCAGCAAUGGAUUCAAUAAGAUUUAAGCUCUGGAAGGACUCACGAACAGUCAUAGAAGAUAAGGUGUCAUUUGUAACCAUGAAAGUUGGCCAUGUAAGCCUAACACAAUUGAAACCCAUGGAUGCAAUCUUCUUUGAUAUUGUAUCCAAAGGUUGCUUACUUAGACCUUCAGGCACCAUUAAAAGGUGUCCAGCCC
Telopea speciosissima is the source of this 377-nucleotide long non-coding RNA. RefSeq lists it as uncharacterized. Lineage: Eukaryota; Viridiplantae; Streptophyta; Magnoliopsida; Proteales; Proteaceae. The record is from RefSeq and is a predicted model, not a curated record. The transcript has 3 exons.